Erigeron canadensis is the source of this 185-nucleotide long non-coding RNA. RefSeq lists it as uncharacterized. The record is from RefSeq and is a predicted model, not a curated record. The transcript has 3 exons. Lineage: Eukaryota; Viridiplantae; Streptophyta; Magnoliopsida; Asterales; Asteraceae.
GAUCUUGCAGGGUCAUACAGUGGAUCCAGAUAUUCUCAGACUGUAGAGUGGUCUAAAAUCUAUAAGAGCAAACGGGUCAGAUGAGUCGAAAGCCAUAGGAUAGCCUUUUUCAAAUUCAAGAGCAAACUUGACUCUUGUGGUCAUUGUUUCUUUGCAAAAGCUUUGGCUGAAAAGAAUACGAGGGA